UGUCUGAUUAACAUAGCAGCUGGAGAACCAGAACAGACAAAGGCUCUAUUGCCUACAUUACCUCUGAAUGUCCCUUGGAGAAAUCAACUUUCAUAGAGAAUGAGGUGGUUGCAGCAAAUCAAGGGAAUGGAACAAAGAGAAAGAGCCAGUUUCAACUUAAAUCUGUGGAGAGUUUUUAUUUGGGCUAGUAUAUAUCAGGAGGAGAAGAAUCUCAUAGACUUGUAUAUUAUCCUUCUCAGAUUUUCAAGGUAAAGAUAGUAUCAUUAUGGGAGUUAUGCUUGCCUUUUCCUUGUUUUUAUUGUCACUUUCUUAUUGUUAUGGAGUAUUUCUUUUUGAAUAUUCUUCUUUUUGUAAAUUUUGUAAGAAUCAUAUAUUUUACAGCUGAAUUGAAUGGAGCCUUGCUGCUACCUUGAGGUUGUGGGUUCAAUUUGAGACUAUUAUCACAUGUUUCAUUUGUGAUUUUAAAGAUUGUGAGAGUAUUUGAAUUUCCUUAAAAAUUCAGUUCUUUACUAUCUAUUUAGUUGGGUUUAAUAAUUCCAUAUUUGCAUUUGGACAGGUAUUCAAUCUUCCCAAUUUACUAUCCACAAUCUCAUUCAUUCAAUUGCUCUCUAAAUUCAAUUAGUUUGAUAAUGC
This is a long non-coding RNA of Magnolia sinica, 633 nucleotides long. RefSeq lists it as uncharacterized. NCBI's taxonomy places the organism in Eukaryota, Viridiplantae, Streptophyta, Magnoliopsida, Magnoliales, Magnoliaceae. The transcript is spliced from 3 exons. The record is from RefSeq and is a predicted model, not a curated record.